Molecule: ribosomal RNA, 414 nt
Filed under: uncultured bacterium
Lineage: Bacteria
Description: bacterial SSU rRNA
Rfam family: Bacterial small subunit ribosomal RNA
Source: RNAcentral
UGGGGAAUAUUGGACAAUGGGCGCAAGCCUGAUCCAGCCAUGCCGCGUGAGUGAUGAAGGCCUUAGGGUUGUAAAGCUCUUUCAACGGUGAAGAUAAUGACGGUAACCGUAGAAGAAGCCCCGGCUAACUUCGUGCCAGCAGCCGCGGUAAUACGAAGGGGGCUAGCGUUGUUCGGAAUUACUGGGCGUAAAGCGCACGUAGGCGGACAUUUAAGUCAGGGGUGAAAUCCCGGAGCUCAACUCCGGAACUGCCUUUGAUACUGGGUGUCUUGAGUAUGGAAGAGGUUAGUGGAAUUGCGAGUGUAGAGGUGAAAUUCGUAGAUAUUCGCAGGAACACCAGUGGCGAAGGCGGCUAACUGGUCCAUAACUGACGCUGAGGUGCGAAAGCGUGGGGAGCAAACAGGAUUAGAUACC